GAGUUUGAUCCUGGCUCAGAUUGAACGCUGGCGGCAGGCCUAACACAUGCAAGUCGAGCGGUAGAGAGAAGCUUGCUUCUCUUGAGAGCGGCGGACGGGUGAGUAAUGCCUAGGAAUCUGCCUGGUAGUGGGGGAUAACGCUCGGAAACGGACGCUAAUACCGCAUACGUCCUACGGGAGAAAGCAGGGGACCUUCGGGCCUUGCGCUAUCAGAUGAGCCUAGGUCGGAUUAGCUAGUUGGUGAGGUAAUGGCUCACCAAGGCGACGAUCCGUAACUGGUCUGAGAGGAUGAUCAGUCACACUGGAACUGAGACACGGUCCAGACUCCUAUGGGAGGCAGCAGUGGGGAAUAUUGGACAAUGGGCGAAAGCCUGAUCCAGCCAUGCCGCGUGUGUGAAGAAGGUCUUCGGAUUGUAAAGCACUUUAAGUUGGGAGAAGGGCAGUAAAUUAAUACUUUAGCUGUUUUGACGUUACCGACAGAAUAAGCACCGGCUAACUCU
Molecule: ribosomal RNA, 500 nt
Filed under: uncultured bacterium
Lineage: Bacteria
Description: bacterial SSU rRNA
Rfam family: Bacterial small subunit ribosomal RNA
Source: RNAcentral